GGUGAGAUGUCCGAGUGGUUGAAGGAGCAUGCCUGGAAAGCGUGUAUAUGGGAAACUGUAUCGGGGGUUCGAAUCCCCCUCUCACCGCCA
This 90-nucleotide transfer RNA is filed under the name Glaesserella parasuis. RNAcentral describes it as "tRNA-Ser". It matches the Rfam family "tRNA". Rfam says of the family: Transfer RNA (tRNA) molecules are approximately 80 nucleotides in length. Their secondary structure includes four short double-helical elements and three loops (D, anti-codon, and T loops). Lineage: Bacteria; Pseudomonadati; Pseudomonadota; Gammaproteobacteria; Pasteurellales; Pasteurellaceae. The record is from RNAcentral.